Long non-coding RNA from Grus americana (Whooping crane), 4110 nucleotides. RefSeq lists it as uncharacterized. NCBI's taxonomy places the organism in Eukaryota, Metazoa, Chordata, Aves, Gruiformes, Gruidae. The transcript is spliced from 5 exons. The record is from RefSeq and is a predicted model, not a curated record.
GGCAUACAGCUUCCUGGUCAGGAUGGCUUCACCACUCAUCUGCACCUCGUGGGUGCACGUCACAGGACAGACCCACACAAGUCUUGUUGGUACACAGCUAAAAGUAACUAUUCAAGCAGGCAGGCACAAACACACUGAAAAUUUUGCAUCCGGUUGUGUGAUUUCAGGAAAGCAAACCAAUUAGAGAAAGAACAGAAGGCAGUUAUUUAGGAGCUGAAGGAAGUGGUGUGUUUUGGAGCCACGGAUUAGUUAAUACUGCUUGGCCAAACGAUGCACCGACACAAAGUCAUCUCCUCAGGCUCAGUGGGACUGAGCCAAAAGCAGCUGAAGGGUAGACAAGUGUGUCCCGGGGGAGCGUGACAAUAAGGUUGCUCUGCCCACAUGCCCUUCCCCAGGCAUUCAGUAUUGGCCACCCUUAGGGAGAGGGUACAAGGUUAAAGGGGCUUUGGGACUGAUUCUGGGUGACUUCUUUCUCAGGAGAGUUUCAAGGAGAAUCGAGAAGUAACAAGGUGUGACUGAGCUAAAAUAUGAGGAUAGGGGAAGUCAUUAUCUUGACAGGGAUUUUAUGCUCUAAAAUGGCAAAUAGUUCCAGAAGAGGUGAUGAAGAUCUCAUUUGUGCCAGGAAAAGUUUUAAAAGGCCAAGCAAGCAUCUAGAAUGUGCACAGGAAAGAACAACCAUGUCUUGGCAGGAGACGGUCUGGACCGUGGGCUAGAUGUUUUUAUUUGUAUCAGACAUCUGGAUAACUGCAUUAGCAAGAUGUCCCCGCUAAAAGACUUAGUAGAAGUUUAGGGUGUUGACUUUUACAUUUUUUUCCACUAUCACAGUGAACUGGAUCACUCAGAGCUAUUUGGUAGAGCCACCUGACAUCCUAAUCUAGAUAAGGCUCUAUUGGGCAGCAUUUAAAAAUAUUUAACUUGCUGCUUUGGUGAUUGCUUGGUGUUGGGUAUUUUUGACAAGAGCCUAAAUUCCACACCAGAGAAGUCAGAAGUUUCAGGCAGCUCUACCAUGCCCCAGAAAGUGGUCCCCAGCUGGCCCCAACCCUGCUGCCACGCAGCCGUGCUUCACCACCAGACACGAUCGGUGCAAGGCGGUGGGAGAGGCACCAGCAGAGCCCGGCUCCUCGCACUGCUCUGCGAUCCCCCGGGUUGGCCUCCACUCAGACAAGUGCACAGAUACCCAAACAGCUUGUCUUUUUUUCAGCAAGUACAUGCUGUUCUUCAGUUAUUUUUAGGCUGUAAAGCCUCUGUUUGCCCUUUAAUGCCCUUUGUGUCAUAAAAAUGCCUCCACUUUUCCCCACCCUCUGCCUGCUUCUUUAAUGGCCUCCUCUGUCAUCACCCUGUCUGCGACUGGGCUGGAGCGGCUGCGGUCUGCCCCAGGGCUGUCGCCUUCCUCAGCUGGUGCCCGAGGGGAGGGAGAGGAGCCCGGGGGCCCAGAUCUGCAAAGGGGAGCUGGCACCACAAGGGAAAGCCUGCCCUGAGGUAACAGUUCUGGUAUACCACUGCUUGCUUGAGAUUUGAAGGCUACCAUUGCUUCUCCCUGAUGACAAUGCUUGAAAAAAAUCCUGAGAAGUCAAAGGAGAAAAUUCCUUGGUAAAACACCAUAGGAGGCAUUUUUUAAAUGGCUUUUGUUUUGGGUUGUUGGGUUUUUUUCUUCAUCUUCUGCAGCCAAUAUUGCUCCUGGGAAAAGGUCUGAACUCACCCAGGAUGUAGCCUGCGGUCCAGCAGCCCUUGCUGACCAGCCCUUGCAAGAACCGGAGGAUGACUAUCCACAGUGACUGCUGCUGUACCCAUCUGGCAAUCUCUGCAUCUGCUAUUUCAAAGUUUCUCCAAAGGAAGCAAGAUGUUUCCAAGCUGCAGCCGCACAGAGCGUGACAGAUCAAGUGGGGGCUCCAAACCAGCGUUUCCUGGCUUUGGUUAACGUCCCAGGGCUCUGGUGGGGCACGGUAGGGAGUUUGGGGUGUACGGUCCUAAAUAGUCCUCGUGGGCUCUGCAGGACUCUCUGAGCAGGAGAAUUGUGCAAACCACCAGGUAUGACCUAAGAGACAGAGUACUCCUCAUACUGCAACUGAACAUCCAGGUGGUUGACCUUAUUUUGAGAAGAACAGAGAUGAUAGCAGUUGCACAACCUUUCUCUGCCUUUAUCUAAGCUCAGCUGCUGAACACCGAUAAGGGAGGUCAGAGGGUUCUGCUGUGAGCCCACACGUACCUGUCUGCUAUGUAGCCAAUGUUUAUGGAGCCAAUAAAAAACCCGGCAUUCACAGAAGACUGAAAGAGGUCCAGCUUCCAGGAGUCCUCACACACCAGGUUAAACUAAAGGAGCAACCACAGUUAGAAGCAAGAGAGUGAAACGAGGACCUGGCUCACAUUCACAAGUUUCCUUUGCGUCAGCUGCCAGAGCAAGGGACAACAUAACAGAGCCCAAGAGCCUUCACAAAAACAGUCACAUCCAGAAGCAAAACACUUUGCCAAAACUCACAUGGAGGCGCAUGACGGUUUUGGUUAUCCUGUGAAGGAAGAAGUCCGUGGGCCUUGCACCCCUUUCAGAAGAAGAGGGAAGAUGACUGAUGCAAGACCGUGACCGCACAAAUCCACGCAGACUGCAAGUUUUCAGCUUCCCACCAUCUCAAGAGGUCAUCUGGACCCUAGCAUCUGCUCAAGCCUUUUGCAGCGAGAUGUGCCUGCUGCGCUGCUGCUUUGAGGAAGUCCUGGGGCACCCUCCAUUUGAGGUGUCUCACCUCCUCACUUUACUGUUGCUCUGUCCACACUUUGCUGAAAGAAGUACACUUGCAGUACACCACCUAAAAUCUAGCUCCAACCUCUUACAAAACUAUAAAUGCUGAAGUUGCUAAAGCACAGAAUUUACCUGCUCCUCCAUUUGUGUUAGAUACAUGGGGGAAAGAAUCCUGACCUCCACCAUCUCUAAAAAUUUGGUGGAACUUUCUGUGAUAAAAAUCAAGCUUGUCAUCCCAGAUACUGAUUUGUUUUUAAAGCACCUAAAACCUUAAAGUACCUUAAGUAGCUUAAGUACCAUUUUCAGUUUAUUCACAUCUGAACACAAAACAGCCAUUGGAUUUUCUGCAAUUUAUUCCUGAAUUAAGCUGUUUAAUUGUAGGAAAUUAUUACCUUUUCCCCCACCUAUAGUCAUUCAGUCAUAUUUGAAACUGCCUUUAAAAGACAAUCUUCAUUUAAGAAAAGGAAAAAAAAAAAAGAAAGAAAGAAAUGAAGACCUUCACAUCUGGGUGAAGAUCCCAGGAAGACUGGGAGGUCUGCGCAGCGUGCCCACUUGGGAUCGGCCGCUUUUGUUUGUAGUGCUGCGCACUGCUGAUGCCUCACCAGCGAUGUUUACACAGCUCCACCAAUCGGACCUCUCAUGUGACGGGAAUUUCAUUCAGAACUGGACUUUAUCUACCUAGGUAUUUGUUUGCUGAAAUAUGCUUUGCUCCCCAGCUGGAGAUAUAAGCCUCCUGAGCAGCCAAGGCAACGCUCCACAGCGAGAACAGAGGGAAGACAACUUGCAGAACUCCCUGCGCAAGUUUGCGGCAAGAGGAUCCCCUCGUUCAGAAAAGCCACCAACAGCCACAGCACUUUGGGUUUUUUGGGGUUUUUUUAUUAGCCAAACCAGCUCCUCAAAGAAGAAGCAUUUUAAGGAGCAAGCAUAGAUGGAAAAUUCCACUAACGUGGAAGCAAAUGAGAAGUUUAUUGUAGCAGUUGGUGGGCACCACAUGUGAACAAGGCUUAUCAACUGAGUUCGAUAAAGAACAGAACAGCAAGAUUAUUAGGCAUGCAGUGAGAACAACCAGGAGGACGCUCAGCACAGCACCCACAGCUUGACUUCUCCUUGAAAGGCCUUUAUGUACUCGGGCCUCCUGAUCAAUCUGGUGCUCAUUGCUUCCUGGAUCAUUGGUUGAUCUAGUAACAGAAAUUGGGAAGAAAAGGACAAUUAAGAUCUAUUGACCAGUUGCAUCAAACUGGAUUAGAAACAGCAGAUUCAAAGAAAUUAAACAUGCCAUGUCAUCCUGUCAGUCCUAACAGCUGUAAAAAUUGAAUUCAGAGGAUUUUGUUCUAAGUAAAAAUCACUGAAAAAAUAAAAGCAUGUAUAGUGUGCCUUCA